This 431-nucleotide ribosomal RNA is filed under the name uncultured bacterium. RNAcentral's name for it is "bacterial SSU rRNA". It matches the Rfam family "Bacterial small subunit ribosomal RNA", at positions 29 to 506 of the family's 1533-position model. The record is from RNAcentral.
AAUGAACGCUGGCGGCAUGCCUAACACAUGCAAGUCGAACGAAGCCUUCGGGCUUAGUGGCGCACGGGUGCGUAACGCGUGGGAAUCUGCCCUUGGGUUCGGAAUAACAGUGGGAAACUACUGCUAAUACCGAAUGAUGUCGUAAGACCAAAGAUUUAUCGCCCAGGGAUGAGCCCGCGUAGGAUUAGCUAGUUGGUGUGGUAAAGGCGCACCAAGGCGACGAUCCUUAGCGGUCUGAGAGGAUGAUCAGCCACACUGGGACUGAGACACGGCCCAGACUCCUACGGGAGGCAGCAGUGGGGAAUAUUGGACAAUGGGCGAAAGCCUGAUCCAGCAAUGCCGCGUGAGUGAUGAAGGCCUUAGGGUUGUAAAGCUCUUUUACCCGGGAUGAUAAUGACAGUACCGGGAGAAUAAGCUCCGGCUAACUCCGU